RNAcentral lists this ribosomal RNA (2880 nucleotides) under Burkholderia contaminans. Its description in RNAcentral is "23S ribosomal RNA". It matches the Rfam family "Bacterial large subunit ribosomal RNA". The record is from RNAcentral. Lineage: Bacteria; Pseudomonadati; Pseudomonadota; Betaproteobacteria; Burkholderiales; Burkholderiaceae.
UCAAGCGAACAAGUGCAUGUGGUGGAUGCCUUGGCGAUCACAGGCGAUGAAGGACGCGGUAGCCUGCGAAAAGCUACGGGGAGCUGGCAAACAAGCUUUGAUCCGUAGAUGUCCGAAUGGGGAAACCCACUCCUUUUGGAGUAUCCAUGGCUGAAUACAUAGGCCAUGUGAAGCGAACGCGGUGAACUGAAACAUCUAAGUAACCGCAGGAAAAGAAAUCAACCGAGAUUCCCAAAGUAGUGGCGAGCGAAAUGGGAUGAGCCUUGCACUCUUUAUUUGUAUUGUUAGCCGAACGCUCUGGAAAGUGCGGCCAUAGCAGGUGAUAGCCCUGUAGGCGAAAACAGUAUGAAAGAACUAGGUGUGCGACAAGUAGGGCGGGACACGUGAAAUCCUGUCUGAAGAUGGGGGGACCAUCCUCCAAGGCUAAAUACUCGUGAUCGACCGAUAGUGAACCAGUACCGUGAGGGAAAGGCGAAAAGAACCCCGGGAGGGGAGUGAAAUAGAUCCUGAAACCGCAUGCAUACAAACAGUCGGAGCCUCGUAAGGGGUGACGGCGUACCUUUUGUAUAAUGGGUCAGCGACUUACGUUCAGUAGCAAGCUUAACCGUAUAGGGCAGGCGUAGCGAAAGCGAGUCCGAAUAGGGCGUUCAGUUGCUGGGCGUAGACCCGAAACCAGGUGAUCUAUCCAUGGCCAGGAUGAAGGUGCGGUAACACGUACUGGAGGUCCGAACCCACUAACGUUGAAAAGUUAGGGGAUGAGCUGUGGAUAGGGGUGAAAGGCUAAACAAACCUGGAAAUAGCUGGUUCUCUCCGAAAACUAUUUAGGUAGUGCCUCGUGUCUCACCUUCGGGGGUAGAGCACUGUCAUGGUUGGGGGGUCUAUUGCAGAUUACCCCGCCAUAGCAAACUCCGAAUACCGAAGAGUGCAAUCACGGGAGACAGACAUCGGGUGCUAACGUCCGGUGUCAAGAGGGAAACAACCCAGACCGCCAGCUAAGGUCCCCAAAUAUAGCUAAGUGGGAAACGAAGUGGGAAGGCUAAAACAGUCAGGAGGUUGGCUUAGAAGCAGCCACCCUUUAAAGAAAGCGUAAUAGCUCACUGAUCGAGUCGUCCUGCGCGGAAGAUGUAACGGGGCUAAGCUAUAUACCGAAGCUGCGGAUGCGUGCUUAGCACGCAUGGUAGGAGAGCGUUCCGUAAGCCUGCGAAGGUGCCUUGUAAAGGGUGCUGGAGGUAUCGGAAGUGCGAAUGCUGACAUGAGUAGCGAUAAAGGGGGUGAAAGGCCCCCUCGCCGUAAGCCCAAGGUUUCCUACGCAACGUUCAUCGGCGUAGGGUGAGUCGGCCCCUAAGGCGAGGCAGAAAUGCGUAGCUGAUGGGAAGCAGGUCAAUAUUCCUGCACCAUUGUUAGAUGCGAUGGGGGGACGGAUCGCGGAAGGUUGUCCGGGUGUUGGAAGUCCCGGUCGCUGCAUUGGAGAAGGCGCUUAGGCAAAUCCGGGCGCGGAAUUCAAGGGUGUGGCGCGAGCUCCUUAGGGAGCGAAGCAAUUGGAAGUGGUUCCAAGAAAAGCCUCUAAGCUUCAGUCUAAUGAUGACCGUACCGCAAACCGACACAGGUGGGCGAGAUGAGUAUUCUAAGGCGCUUGAGAGAACUCGGGAGAAGGAACUCGGCAAAUUGGUACCGUAACUUCGGGAUAAGGUACGCCCUUGUAGCUUGACUGGCUUGCGCCAGAAGGGUGAAGGGGUUGCAAUAAACUGGUGGCUGCGACUGUUUAAUAAAAACACAGCACUCUGCAAACACGAAAGUGGACGUAUAGGGUGUGACGCCUGCCCGGUGCCGGAAGAUUAAAUGAUGGGGUGCAAGCUCUUGAUUGAAGUCCCGGUAAACGGCGGCCGUAACUAUAACGGUCCUAAGGUAGCGAAAUUCCUUGUCGGGUAAGUUCCGACCUGCACGAAUGGCGUAACGAUGGCCACACUGUCUCCUCCCGAGACUCAGCGAAGUUGAAGUGUUUGUGAUGAUGCAAUCUACCCGCGGCUAGACGGAAAGACCCCAUGAACCUUUACUGUAGCUUUGCAUUGGACUUUGAACCGAUCUGUGUAGGAUAGGUGGGAGGCUAUGAAACCGGAACGCUAGUUUCGGUGGAGCCGUCCUUGAAAUACCACCCUGGUUUGUUUGAGGUUCUAACCUUGGCCCGUGAUCCGGGUCGGGGACAGUGCAUGGUAGGCAGUUUGACUGGGGCGGUCUCCUCCCAAAGCGUAACGGAGGAGUACGAAGGUACGCUAGGUACGGUCGGAAAUCGUGCUGAUAGUGCAAUGGCAUAAGCGUGCUUAACUGCGAGACCGACAAGUCGAGCAGGUGCGAAAGCAGGUCAUAGUGAUCCGGUGGUUCUGUAUGGAAGGGCCAUCGCUCAACGGAUAAAAGGUACUCUGGGGAUAACAGGCUGAUACCGCCCAAGAGUUCAUAUCGACGGCGGUGUUUGGCACCUCGAUGUCGGCUCAUCUCAUCCUGGGGCUGUAGCCGGUCCCAAGGGUAUGGCUGUUCGCCAUUUAAAGAGGUACGUGAGCUGGGUUUAAAACGUCGUGAGACAGUUUGGUCCCUAUCUGCCGUGGGCGUUGGAUAUUUGAAGGGGGCUGCUCCUAGUACGAGAGGACCGGAGUGGACGAACCUCUGGUGUACCGGUUGUCACGCCAGUGGCAUCGCCGGGUAGCUAUGUUCGGAAGAGAUAACCGCUGAAAGCAUCUAAGCGGGAAACUCGCCUUAAGAUGAGAUAUCCCUGGGGACUAGAUCCCCUUGAAGGGUCGUUCGAGACCAGGACGUUGAUAGGUCAGGUGUGUAAGCGCAGUAAUGCGUUCAGCUAACUGAUACUAAUUGCCCGUAAGGCUUGAUCCU